RNAcentral lists this ribosomal RNA (453 nucleotides) under uncultured Thiobacillus sp. RNAcentral describes it as "bacterial SSU rRNA". It matches the Rfam family "Bacterial small subunit ribosomal RNA", at positions 927 to 1382 of the family's 1533-position model. The record is from RNAcentral. Lineage: Bacteria; Pseudomonadati; Pseudomonadota; Betaproteobacteria; Nitrosomonadales; Thiobacillaceae.
AAGCGGUGGAUGAUGUGGAUUAAUUCGAUGCAACGCGAAGAACCUUACCUACCCUUGACAUGUCCGGAACCUUGCCAGAGAUGGCUUGUGCCCGAAAGGGAAGUCGGAACACAGGUGCUGCAUGGCUGUCGUCAGCUCGUGUCGUGAGAUGUUGGGUUAAGUCCCGCAACGAGCGCAACCCUUAUCAUUAGUUGCUGCGCAAGGGCACUCUAAUGAGACUGCCGGUGACAAACCGGAGGGAGGUGGGAUGACGUCAAGUCCUCAUGGCCCUUAUGUCCAGGGCUACACACGUGCUACAAUGGUCGCUACAGAGUGACGCGAAGCCGCGAGGUGGAGCAAAUCGCAGAAAAGCGACCUUAGUUCGGAUUGGAGUCUGAAACCCGACUCCAUGAAGGUGGAAUCGCUAGUAAUCGCGCAUCAGCAUGGCCGCGGUCGAAUACGUUCCCGGGCCUU